GAUGAACGCUGGCGGCGUGCCUAAUACAUGCAAGUCGAGCGAACGGACGAGAAGCUUGCUUCUCUGAUGUUAGCGGCGGACGGGUGAGUAACACGUGGAUAACCUACCUAUAAGACUGGGAUAACUUCGAGAAACCGGAGCUAAUACCGGAUAAUAUUUUGAACCGCAUGGUUCAAAAGUGAAAGACGGUCUUGCUGUCACUUAUAGAUGGAUCCGCGCUGCAUUAGCUAGUUGGUAAGGUAACGGCUUACCAAGGCAACGAUGCAUAGCCGACCUGAGAGGGUGAUCGGCCACACUGGAACUGAGACACGGUCCAGACUCCUACGGGAGGCAGCAGUAGGGAAUCUUACGCAAUGGGCGAAAGCCUGACGGAGCAACGCCGCGUGAGUGAUGAAGGUCUUCGGAUCGUAAAACUCUGUUAUUAGGGAAGAACAUAUGUGUAAGUAACUGUGCACAUCUUGACGGUACCUAAUCAGAAAGCCACGGCUAACUACGUG
RNAcentral lists this ribosomal RNA (497 nucleotides) under uncultured bacterium. RNAcentral's name for it is "partial 16S ribosomal RNA". It matches the Rfam family "Bacterial small subunit ribosomal RNA", at positions 28 to 507 of the family's 1533-position model. The record is from RNAcentral.